This is a long non-coding RNA of Vespula vulgaris, 3867 nucleotides long. RefSeq lists it as uncharacterized. The transcript is spliced from 7 exons. The record is from RefSeq and is a predicted model, not a curated record. Lineage: Eukaryota; Metazoa; Arthropoda; Insecta; Hymenoptera; Vespidae.
UCCUAUGUGUCAGCCGUUAAUUAUAUUCUUUGUUUCUUUUCAUGCUCUGUUCAUGUUUAUUUCAGUUCCGAAUAUUUACGUCGGCAGUGUGACAGUCAGUUGCUAUCAGUUGAAAGGACAAAGAAGAUAGACAGUAGAAGAAAGAAGAAAUAAUUUGUUGAUUUAACCUUAAAUAAAGGAUAGUAAAAAAUAUGUCUUAUUUUUUUGCUUUUCUUCAAACAUAGCAAAAACAAGUGGCGCUGCAUAGGUGGGUGAUCUUGGUCGUCUUGUGCCGGUAUUCCCGAGGCCAGUCGCAAUCCACAUGUGGUGACGGAGUUUUGUCUUCUCCUAAUUACGGUUAUAGAAUUUUAUAAUAUACAAAAUGUUAUGAAUCGACGAAGAUGGAACACAGAGUACAGUGAAAUCGUAUUAUAUUUUGCUGUUUUUCAUAUAUAGUCAAGGGAAGUUGUGUAUCUAGUAAAAAAAAAAUCAAGAAAUGGUAUGUUCUUGAAAAUUUUUUUUGUAUACGAAGUUACGAAAUUAAAGCGAAGAUGGAUAUAUAGGUGACCUCUCCUUUUCAGAAUAAUAUGAUACCUACAAGUGAUAACACACUUGGCAGUUCUCCUGUGUAUUAUGAUUGCAGUUGUUCUUACAACCAUAGAUAUAUCGAUCUUUAUUUCGAUAAAAUAAAAGAAGAUUUGUAAAGUAGAUUUGUUGUUAAUAUUGUUCCGAUUAAUUUAAAUUUGUUUGUGUUUUAUGAUUUUAAAUAUCUUUUAGGAGUAUGUGCAUAUGAAUAAUCUGCGUGCAAAGCAAUCAUAGAAUCAAUGUUUAUUCGUGUAAAAUUUUAUUUAUUCUUUUUUUCUUAUAGUUAGGCUAUAGAUACUUAUAUAUAGAACAAACAAUAGAUACUCGCGAAUUAAUUGCAUUGUUUGCUUCUUAAUUAUUAAAUAAUUAUCGUAUUACUGCAUCAUGGAAGAUAAUCAAAAAUGUAGUACACUUCAUCUAUAAAAUAAUAGUGAUCAUCAUUGCAUUGUCGUUAAGUCAAUAUCAUUAUUACAAAUUCAAUCUAAUGAAUUUUCAACCUACGUUGUAAAAUGAAAUAAAUUUUGGACCUAUUACGGAUCAGUUUAUUAUCGAUCCUAUUACGGAUCGAUUUACAACGUGGGCGGGUUUUGGAGCCUUUGGGGAUCUUCUUAAGUACUGCUUCCACUGCUUCCAAGGAACCAAACUAUCAAUUCAGAUGUUUACUGUCGAGAAUUAAUGAAACAUGAGGAAACAAUCCAAGAAAAACGACCAGAAUUGACAAAUCGCAAUGGGAUCUUGUUCCACUAAGCAAUGCAAGGCGUAACACAUCUUUGGUAAUUUCUGGAAAAUUAUUGGAGUUUGGUUGGAAAGUGAUAUCGUAUCCCCCAUAUGGUCUUGACAUUGCAUCAUCAAAUUAGCAUUUAUUUCGAAGUUCGGAAAACUCUUUGAAAGGUAAAACUUUUACUAAUGGUGAUAACUUUAAAUCGCACUUGGUUCAAUUUUUUGCUAAUAAGGAUCAGAAUUUCUAUGAAAGCGGAAUCACGAAGUUAUUAGAAAAUUGGAAAAGGGUCAUUGUACAAAGUGGAAAAUAUAUAAUAGAUUAAAGUUCAUUAUUUGUAUAAAAGAAAUUGACUUUUAUUUUACACUACAAAACCGAAAUUACUUUCUUGCUGACCCAUUAUAUUUCUUGUUGGUACGAAAGCUAUCGAUGAAAUGUGAUCUCGAACAGCCUUUCGUUUCAUUAGCUAAUAUCUACUUCCUAAAUUUUGUUUAUAUACGAUGUGCUCUUCCUAGCGAAAACCCGAAGACCCAAACAACAACCUCAAUUUUUUCUGUACGAUAUGCUGUUCCUUCCAAUGCUGUUUUUUCCAAAUAUUUUCAUUAUAUGAAUACGUUUCUUUAAAACUGAAUCCGGAUUUUAUAUUUUCACAGCUUGUUUCUAAUGGAAGUGCAAUUUUAAUUAAUUCGGGAAUGUUAUAAAUAGUCGUUUCAGAAUGAACAUAGCCAAUUAUUGGAGUCUACGUUGAAUUAUAUUUUCAGAGCCAUAUACUGUUUUAUGGAAAGGUGGAAGCUUGUUGCUAUAGUAAGGAGGAAAGAUUGCCAUUGCUCGUAAAAUAAUUAAAGACUUCAAUAGGCAAAUGCGAAUCAUAGUUGUCUAUCAACAGGGAGAUGGAUUUCUCGUUAGAUAGCUUCACAUAUCGAACGAACUAUUUGAUGAAUUUAACAAAAUUUUCUUCUUUCAUUCAAUGUGUAUCAUUAAAUUACUCUCUUUCGCUAUUAAAAUUAAUCAGAUAUGUUACGAUAUGGUUAGAGACUUUUACACGCUGAUAUGAAAUACACGUUUUUGCCCACUCAGCUCAAUUUUUUCUAACCGCUAUCUAAGCACAUGUCUCGGUAAUUAUUUUUAGAAUUGCUCGUAACACUACAUGCUUCACAGAGGCUACCAAAGUCCUAUGUCUUAAUUUACUAAGAAUAUAUGGUCUAAUUGUUUUCAUUGAAACAUUGCAGUAAAUUUUGUCAUUUUUAUCGGACUACGUUGAUUUUUAAAGCUAUAGAGCUUUGCGCAUUAGAAUUAUAAAAAGCUCUUUCUAUUCUCAAUCAUCUCUUUGCUCCGCAAUGACUGUAAAUUAAACGUAUCCGCCGUAAUAUUUUCCUUACCACUAAUAUGCCUAAUGUCGAUCGUAAAUUGUCCAAUAUAGUCUACAUAGCGAAAUUGAUAAACACUUUUCAGAUUUCUGACGAAGCCUGAAUAUUAAUAGUUUAUAAUCCGUAAAAAUCACAAAUGUUCACCAAGAAGUAUCUAAAUCGUUUUACUACAAUGUAAGCAUAGCAUAUAAUUCCCUAUCGUAAAUACUGUACUUGUACUGGGCAAUUAUUAAAGUUUUUGUAAAAAAAAACCGAGUGGUUAUCAUUAAUCAUUUAUGUGGUGUUGCAAGAUAGCACUAAUCGGGACAUCCGAGGCACCUAUCGUAAUAGACAAUAACAUAUUAUCUUCUAAAUGCACAAGUAAUACAGUAUUCGCGAGCUUAGUUUUCAUGGCAGCAAAUAUCGUUUCACUCAACUGGAGAAUUUCCUUUCUUUUAGACCCUUCCAGGAGUUUAUAAUUUUUGUAACGCAGCUGCAAGAGGAAUGAAGUUGCGAUAAAAGCUUCUUAUUGCCAAAAAGCGUCUAAAUUUUUUAGUCAUACGCUGUUUUGGAAACUUCAUUAUAGCUUCCAUUUUAUUCCUAAUCUAUUGAAUCCCGUGUUUAUUUAUUGUAUAAUCGAGAAAUUCGUUAUUGUUUUGAAAACGAAUUCGUUUUCACUAAACAAAUUUCAUCGGGAUAAACUACGAUCCCAUAGUCAUUCAUUCUUUCCGAGAAGUGCAGCAAGUGUACUUUUUCAUUACUUGAAGCAAUUAUUAAAUCGUCUAAAUAUAAUUACAUAAAAUUUAAACCUCAUGACGCAUUGUCCGUAAAAUACUAAAAAAUUUGUGCUGCGUUUCAUAAACUGAACGGUAUCCACGGGAAUUCGAGAAGGCCGAAUAAUGUUAUUACUGCGAUUUUCGCGAUAUCAACACCAUACCAUGAUUAUGUGCUUAAAUCUGUGGUGAAAAAUAUGUUUUUACUUGUCAACUAAUAUCUGCAAGAAACCCUUGAUUUGUGGUAUCAAAUAUUUAUUGGACACUAUGCGUAUGUAGCGCAGGAUAAUUACCAUAUGAUCGAAAACUUGCAUUUUUCUUUGGCACGACAUGUAAAGUCGAUGAUUAGAAGCUUUUCGAUAGUCGAAUGAUGCCAUGUUAUUGAAAUUAUGUUUGCCGAUCUGACGACAGGCAUCGUAUAUGGAAAAAUGCAUUCGGAACCGGCUUCGUCUUAAUGUAGUAUCGA